Molecule: ribosomal RNA, 492 nt
Filed under: uncultured bacterium
Lineage: Bacteria
Description: partial 16S ribosomal RNA
Rfam family: Bacterial small subunit ribosomal RNA
Source: RNAcentral
AGUGAACGCUGGCGGUAGGCCUAACACAUGCAAGUCGAACGGCAGCACAGUAAGAGCUUGCUCUUACGGUUGGCGAGUGGCGGACGGGUGAGGAAUACAUCGGAAUCUACUUUUUCGUGGGGGAUAACGUAGGGAAACUUACGCUAAUACCGCAUACGACCUACGGGUGAAAGCAGGGGAUCUUCGUACCUUGCGCGAUUGAAUGAGCCGAUGUCGGAUUAGCUAGUUGGCGGGGUAAAGGCCCACCAAGGCGACGAUCCGUAGCUGGUCUGAGAGGAUGAUCAGCCACACUGGAACUGAGACACGGUCCAGACUCCUACGGGAGGCAGCAGUGGGGAAUAUUGGACAAUGGGCGCAAGCCUGAUCCAGCCAUACCGCGUGGGUGAAGAAGGCCUUCGGGUUGUAAAGCCCUUUUGUUGGGAAAGAAAAGAAGCAGGUUAAUACCCGGCUGUUCUGACGGUACCCAAAGAAUAAGCACCGGCUAACUUCGUG